Molecule: long non-coding RNA, 291 nt
Filed under: Marmota monax (woodchuck)
Lineage: Eukaryota; Metazoa; Chordata; Mammalia; Rodentia; Sciuridae
Source: RNAcentral
AGGCCUUAGCCCCUUUUAGCAAUUCUAUGGAUGCCCUUUCUUAACCACCCAAAGCUUUCCAAUCACUCCUCCUCCCCUUGUGUCCUACCUGUCCUAUCUCACACUUCUACACAAACUCCUAAGGGAACAUGCAGACCAGUGUCUUCCUGCACCAUUCAUUGCCUCAAUCCCAGCACAACCACAAACUGAAUUGGACCCUCUUCAACUGGGUGACUCAGUCUUACUUCAGGAACUGCAUUCUCAAUCGUUGGAACCUCCCUGGACGGGACCCCAUACACUCAUACUUACUAC